UUUCUUUAAACACUUCACCAAAAGAUUACUGAAAAAUGAAUUCCAAGCAAUGCGUUGUGAUUUCUGAACUACGCUGUUCUGGAAAGUGAUGGAGGUUUCCAGGUACCAUCAGUUUUCCCCUGAAGAGGCUGGGAAGAAGCGAGCUGCCCCCUCUCCUGCACUGGCACAGGCAGAAAACACCUCUGUCAUGCACCAAGGAAGAAUGUGGGGUACUGCUUCCUCUGAAAAGGAAACAGGAAUAUAUUUCUCUAAGUCUGUGCUUUCACUAAUUACACCCUAACCUGCAUUCCUCGGGUGGAGAAUACAAAAAGCGAAAGCAUUAGGAGCAUCAAUAUUUCCUAUAGAAACAAUUGCCUGUCAAACAAAGCAUCAAAAGACAAAAGGCAAAAACACAGUUUCAGCUCGAAUGCCUUAAUGUCACUCCUUGUCACGCAGCACUCCAUGGCACCCCCUGAAGUACAGUUAGCCGCACUCCUCCCCAUGCCGCACACUUUCUCUGCUGUUGCAGGAUGAAAAUGUGCCCGGCCUGACAAUGAAGCGGCGGAGCCAUCGCACAUUGUUAUGCAACUCGAUGUCUGCAAGGGUGGCUCGUAGCUCCUUCUUUAUUCAGCAAGUGCCAAGUGCAUGUUUAAUCAAUGUCACAGCUCGCCACAGUGUGCGACUGGAGCCGCCGUCAUUCCUCUCCUCAGAUCCGUCUGCCUAAGUCCUGCAGUGCUCCGACGAAUACCUUGGAAUUAUUUCCAGAGCCUCUGAGCGCAGGUGUGUGGCAGCGCUGACACGGCCGCAAGCAGCACAGACUUCCCUGCAUCCCUCCUCAGUCUGGACUAAAAUUACGGAGCGAGGCUGCAUGUAGUUCGCUGCAUUCGGAAUUACAGCACGUCAACGUGAGAAAGCCUCUUCAGGCGGCUGCCACAGAGCGCAUAACCAGACGGCAUGCGUUCUGUUGCUCUACAUCAUCCAAGGAAAAAAAAAUCUUCGUUUUAAUGAGAAUUAGUCAACAGCAAGGAUCAUUACCAGAAGGAUUUUUCGACUACCCUCAGUGCUGGUGGAUUACCGAGGGAGAAGGCCAGUCACUGGGAAGCUUCUGUGAUGUUAUUCCCUUCACUGUUAAACUUCUUCAUCAAGGAACAGUCCGUGCUCAUGCUGGGUCUGUCUGAGAGAGGAGAGCAGCUCCUUCAUGAAGAUAAAAGCCCGGCUUGCCACAGAAUCGACGAGUAAGAAGCAUGUCUGAUGACAUUUUAUUCCUGAUGCAAUGUAGGCUAGCUGCCAGAAUACUGGUGAAGAGAUUUGCAGGAAAAAUGGGGACCUCUGCCAUCACAACACUGGAGGAUGUAAAAAGGAGAGAGGAGAAGGAGGAGAAAGAAGAAUCUAUUCUAGCACUGCUUGGAAUUAUUGGAACUGUGCUCAAUUUAUUUGUUAUUGUUUUUGUGUACAUCUACACUACACUUUGAUGGCAUUUUUGAACAUCAAUUGCAUAGCACAUGGUGCAAAGACCAGCGAUGGUAAGGAUGAUUUCUAAAUCUAAAGCAAGAAAACCCACAGUCUGAAAAGAUUAUCAGAAACAUUCCAGAGCAAAGUGUCUGGCUAAGGGCACUGCAACAACUGCUAAAUGCAUCUGUGAGCCCAGGUAGGGUGCUACGUUAUGUAAAUCAAGACAGACAAUAUUCAGUUUCUCAUGGAUAAGAGAUGAAACCCAAAUAAUGGAAGCUGAGAUGGCACUGUUUCAUUGACAACAACCGUGCAAGGCACAAAAAAAUAUAUAUAUAUAUAAGCAAAAAAACAGUGAAAAGAACCAGAACACAGAAAGAGAUAAAUUAAAUACAUGAAGAUAUAUAUAAGCAAGUCCCAUGAUGCUUACUGUAGUUUUGUGCAGUCUGUCUCUUCAUAGCUGAGACCAGAAAACAGACAAAAGGGUUUUAUUUCUAGAUCACCAUAAUUUAGGCUUGAAAUCUAAACGGAUGUGCAAUAAGUGUGGGAAGAGGAACAAUGUUAUACCAAAAAUUGUAAUAUUAUAAGUAAAAUUUUAACUAUCAACUAUAUUCUGCAGCUUUUUUGUUAGUCUUGUGGAAAGCUGAAAAAAAACUUAGAUUCUAUUGCCUUUACUGAAUCUGUAUUUGAAAUCAUGCUAUACUGACAAUGUGCUUUUCUAAUUAAAACUCCUUUUAAGUGGUGUGAAAAAUUAAGUAAGAGUUUUAGUACUUCUUGUAAGAAAUAUUAAAAAUUAUAAUACUUUAACACAUGUUCUCCAAAGAAAAGAAAAUAAAUACCAUAAAUGACAUUUUCCAUAUCACCAUUUUCAGAAUGUUUUUAAUGCAAGUAAAAUACAACUUCAUAGUUUUACCUCAUGCUUAUUUUCAGGUAAAAUAAAAAGGAUUCGUGGUGUUGUAUGGAAAAUACCUUUAAUAUUUCCCAGAAAAAUAUAUUCUCUCUGGACCAAGUCGUUCCCUGUCUGAACUGUUAAUGGCUUAGGCCCAGAGCCGCAACUCCCAUGAGUACUUCAUGGAACAUACCAUUAGUUUACUGAAAUCCAUUAAACUAUCUUCAUGUAUGGCAUUUUAUUUUAUUUUAUUUUAUUUUAUUUUAUUUUUAUGUAUGCUUUUGAAUUUAAUCCAAAUCUGCAGACAAUCUGAGGUUAUCAAAGCUUUUUUUUUUUUUUUAAUACAUGGACAUAAUCCACGUAUUUCUUCUAAAAGAAAAAGCUACUAUUGACAGUUCAGGAUUAAAAACAUAAUAGAGAAAAUUCACAUCCAGAUAAACAAAGGGGCGGGGAGCUGAUUUUACUACCAUUCAUAGCAUUACAUGUGGCAAAUGAAGAACAAGACAGCUGCAUUUCUGAAAAUCAGCACUGCAAAACUACACGCAGUCUUUCCAUAAAAUGACAGCAAAUAAACAGAACCUCAUCUAAGAGAAGAGCUUAUUACCAUAGUGAACCCCCUAACUGCUUAACCAAGUGAGCCUUCAAAAGUUAUUUCUUAACAAAUAUGUACAUAAAACAAGGUCAGGGAUCUGCAAUAGUAUUUGGCAAUGGUAUUUCAACCAGUUACAGAAACGACACCAUAACUCAGUGAUUUGCAGAAGGAAGAGGUGGAAGAUGGCAUAUUCUGAUUUUGCUACUCUGAGUCAGUACUGGCUCAUCUAGAAGAAGUGAUAAGUAGAGGUGAGGCUGCACUGGAAGAAAGCAUGCAGACAAGAGAACUUAAUCUGUACUCUAUAGCAAUUCUCUGGUACUGUAUACUAAUUUUCAGGCUAUGAAGCACCAGAGCAUUCUGUGAGCCUCAGCUGUAUUGAAAAGAAAUCAUGAAGCUUAUUCAUUUUUCACUUAGGACUAUAUAAUAUAGUCAGUAUUUUCUUUUUUUCUUUCAAUGUACUAUUUAUAUUCGUAUACGCAUGGGCAUCAUCACAUCAAUCUCAUAAUACAAUGUUAUAUGAGAUGGGACUUAAAAUAAGAAGUUACAAGAACAUGGAAACUAACAGAAAGGAAAAUUCAGACAGAAACUACUGUUUAUUUUGAUCCUGAAGUUAUUUUAAGCUUGUCAAUUCUGCGAAAUCAAUAAACACUUUCAUUUCAUGUCA
Molecule: long non-coding RNA, 3573 nt
Organism: Coturnix japonica (Japanese quail)
Lineage: Eukaryota; Metazoa; Chordata; Aves; Galliformes; Phasianidae
Source: RefSeq, a predicted model, not a curated record